UAUGAACGCUGGCGGCGUGCCUAAUACAUGCAAGUCGAGCGAACAGACGAGGAGCUUGCUCCUCUGACGUUAGCGGCGGACGGGUGAGUAACACGUGGAUAACCUACCUAUAAGACUGGGAUAACUUCGGGAAACCGGAGCUAAUACCGGAUAAUAUAUUGAACCGCAUGGUUCAAUAGUGAAAGACGGUUUUGCUGCCACUUAUAGAUGGAUCCGCGCCGCAUUAGCUAGUUGGUAAGGUAACGGCUUACCAAGGCAACGAUGCGUAGCCGACCUGAGAGGGUGAUCGGCCACACUGGAACUGAGACACGGUCCAGACUCCUACGGGAGGCAGCAGUAGGGAAUCUUCCGCAAUGGGCGAAAGCUUGACGGAGCAACGCCGCGUGAGUGAUGAAGGUCUUCGGAUCGUAAAACUCUGUUAUUAGGGAAGAACAAAUGUGUAAGUAACUAUGCACGUCUUGACGGUACCUAAUCAGAAAGCCACGGCUAACUACGUG
RNAcentral lists this ribosomal RNA (497 nucleotides) under uncultured bacterium. Its description in RNAcentral is "partial 16S ribosomal RNA". It matches the Rfam family "Bacterial small subunit ribosomal RNA", at positions 29 to 507 of the family's 1533-position model. The record is from RNAcentral.